CUGGCUAUAGGAAAUUGUUAGUGGCAGACGGGUGAGUAAUGCGUAGGAAUCUACCUAGUAGUACGGAAUAGCCAUUAGAAAUGGUGGGUAAUACUGUAUAAUCCCCGAGGGGGAAAGAUUUAUCGCUAUUAGAUGAGCCUACGUUAGAUUAGCUAGUUGGUGAGGUAAUGGCUUACCAAGGCUAUGAUCUAUAGCUGGUCUGAGAGGACGAUCAGCCACACUGGAACUGAGAUACGGUCCAGACUCCUACGGGAGGCAGCAGUGGGGAAUAUUGGACAAUGGGCGAAAGCCUGAUCCAGCUAUGCCGCGU
RNAcentral lists this ribosomal RNA (310 nucleotides) under Ehrlichia canis. RNAcentral's name for it is "bacterial SSU rRNA". It matches the Rfam family "Bacterial small subunit ribosomal RNA", at positions 76 to 402 of the family's 1533-position model. Lineage: Bacteria; Pseudomonadati; Pseudomonadota; Alphaproteobacteria; Rickettsiales; Anaplasmataceae. The record is from RNAcentral.